ACAGUGGGUACAGGAGAAGAGGGAAAGGCUCAUGGGACAGUGUCAGGAGGCAGAGGGAUACCUGAACUACCGGAACCUCCCUGCACAUGCUCUUGAACAAGUCCGCAUAGCCGUUGGCAGGUCAAGGCUGAUCACAAGUAACUCGACAUCCCCGCUGGCCAGGUUUGAAGUUCUGUGCCGGGAAGCCAUGUUGGCUGGGUGCCACCUCCUCUGAGCAGCUCUGGGACUCCAUCCGCCAGGGGAACUUACCAUCAGUGCGGAGACUGGCCCGGUCUCGGCUGGUCGACUUGAACAAACCGUUUCCGCUGCACCAGGGAGAGACAGAGGACUGUGGGAGGGAGGAACUGCACAAUCCAACCUUCCUACUGUGGGCAUGUAGGACAGCUGAUGUGGAGACUGUGGAGGUGCUGGUUGCAGCAGGUGCCGAUGU
Molecule: long non-coding RNA, 430 nt
Organism: Branchiostoma belcheri (Belcher's lancelet)
Lineage: Eukaryota; Metazoa; Chordata; Leptocardii; Amphioxiformes; Branchiostomatidae
Exons: 3
Source: RefSeq, a predicted model, not a curated record